This 253-nucleotide ribosomal RNA is filed under the name uncultured bacterium. RNAcentral's name for it is "partial 16S ribosomal RNA". It matches the Rfam family "Bacterial small subunit ribosomal RNA", at positions 524 to 776 of the family's 1533-position model. The record is from RNAcentral.
UACAGAGGGGGCGAGCGUUGUUCGGAAUUACUGGGCGUAAAGGGCGCGUAGGCGGCCCGCUAAGUCGAACGUGAAAUCCCCAGGCUCAACCUGGGAACUGCGUCCGAUACUGGCAGGCUUGAAUCCGGGAGAGGGAUGUGGAAUUCCAGGUGUAGCGGUGAAAUGCGUAGAUAUCUGGAGGAACACCGGUGGCGAAGGCGGCAUCCUGGACCGGUAUUGACGCUGAGGAGCGAAAGCUAGGGGAGCAAACGGG